Long non-coding RNA from Chelonia mydas (Green sea turtle), 945 nucleotides. RefSeq lists it as uncharacterized. The record is from RefSeq and is a predicted model, not a curated record. The transcript has 4 exons. Lineage: Eukaryota; Metazoa; Chordata; Testudines; Cheloniidae.
CAAUCAAUUAGCACUGCUUUGCACCCUCUGCUUGACCUAUCCACUCCUCCCCACUCAAAUCAGCAUUUUCAGGGCAGGGCGAACCUUUCUACCUUGCAGUUGCUUCUCCUAACCACUUCCCUCCCCUUGCAACCUAACAUUAAUGCACUUCCCCUGGACUCCAGCAAAAUCAAUGCAGAGAAGGAGCAUCUUCAGGCAAUAAUACUGCCAUUCAGCACAGUGUGGUUUGUUUAUUUUUUAAGAGUUUUGCUUUACGGUAACUGCCAAUGUAACUUCCCCCUCAGUGUUCCUGAAGUUGGUUGCCUGCAAUCAACAGCUGAAGGCCCAGACAUCACCAGGGGAUGAAUGUCCUUGAAAGGGAAGGAUACAAACUCUUCAGCUUCAAGAACUGCCCCUAUGACUGAACAGUGUCAAGAACAGAUGACCACAUAAGGUACAUUCUCUGCAUUCUCUACAGUAUAUGGGGGAGUAGGAUCAGUGUGUGCAUCAUAUUCCCACAGAGGUAGCCCUCUACAAUCAAGAAACAUGAGGAGUGGCUCUUUCUUUGGGACAUCUCAGAGACUCCCGGAAGUCUGUCAAGAGGAGUGCUGUGAAGGACAAGGCCUUGAAGUGUCAGCCUGAGUUGGCCAGGACUGGAGGGAUCUGGGACCCAUUACUAGUGCCACCUGUGCAAUUGCAGACGUGGCCUCAUGAGCAAACUCCAGUGGGGUUGCCUUACUACUGAAGCACCCAGAACACUCAACUGAGGCGCUGGAGGCCAAGAUGGGUUCUUUCUGGCUCGUGCAUCAUUACCAAUAAUAAAGACUCAGCAUGGUAUAUCUUAUGCAACCCCCUCAGUUUCUUCUUUCAUUUUGGUUGAGUGGCUACAACUGAGGCCAGAAUUUGGCCCUAUAUUUGAAAUGUAAUGAGAAAUUCUGUUGAUCUGUGACCCUGAAUAGACUUCAA